RNAcentral lists this ribosomal RNA (254 nucleotides) under uncultured bacterium. RNAcentral describes it as "partial 16S ribosomal RNA". It matches the Rfam family "Bacterial small subunit ribosomal RNA", at positions 524 to 776 of the family's 1533-position model. The record is from RNAcentral.
CACGUAGGCACCAAGCGUUAUCCGGAUUUAUUGGGCGUAAAGAGCUCGUAGGCGGUUCGGUAAGUCGGGUGUGAAAACUCUGGGCUCAACCCAGAGAGGCCACCCGAUACUGCUGUGACUAGAGUGCGGUAGGGGAGCGGGGAAUUCCUGGUGUAGCGGUGAAAUGCGCAGAUAUCAGGAGGAACACCGGUGGCGAAGGCGGGUCUCUGGGCAACAACUGACGCUGAGGAGCGAAAGCGUGGGGAGCGAACAGG